UGCCAGCCGCCGCGGUAAUACGGAGGGGUUUCGCGUUGUUCGGAAUUACUGGGCGUAAGGCGCGCGUAGGCGGACUAUUAAGUCAGGGGUGAAAUCCCGGGGCUCAACCCCGGAACUGCCCUUGAUACUGGUAGUCUUGAGUUCGAGAGAGGUGAGUGGAAUUCCGAGUGUAGAGGUGAAAUUCGUAGAUAUUCGGAGGAACACCAGUGGCGAAGGCGGCUCACUGGCUCGAUACUGACGCGGAGGUGCGAAAGCGUGGGGAGCACACAGGAUUAGAUA
RNAcentral lists this ribosomal RNA (279 nucleotides) under uncultured bacterium. Its description in RNAcentral is "partial 16S ribosomal RNA". It matches the Rfam family "Bacterial small subunit ribosomal RNA", at positions 506 to 784 of the family's 1533-position model. The record is from RNAcentral.